CCCUUAGAUGUUCUGGGCCGCACGCGCGCUACACUGAUGAAUGCAACGAGCUCUACCCUUGACCGAAAGGCCCGGGUAAACUUGUGAAACUUCGUCGUGAUGGGGAUAGAUUAUUGCAAUUAUUAAUCUUCAACGAGGAAUUCCUAGUAAGCGCGAGUCAUCAGCUCGCGUUGAUUACGUCCCUGCCCUUUGUACACACCGCCCGUCGCUCCUACCGAUUGGGUGUGCUGGUGAAAUGCUCGGAUCGGCCGUUUGUCGCGGUUUCCGCGUCAUGUGGCUGAGAAGUUCAUUAAACCCUCCCACCUAGAGGAAGGAGAAGUCGUAACA
RNAcentral lists this ribosomal RNA (327 nucleotides) under uncultured eukaryote. RNAcentral describes it as "partial 18S ribosomal RNA". It matches the Rfam family "Eukaryotic small subunit ribosomal RNA", at positions 1470 to 1796 of the family's 1831-position model. The record is from RNAcentral.